AUCACCAUUCUACACCCUUUCACUCACUCGCAAACACCCUCUCUCGUUAAUAUAGUCUGCCACUGAAGUUCGCCGGAGAAACCGAUGCGUCGGAGGCUCUCGAAACCCGACGCUCAAACCAUCCGCUAUUUCCCACCCCAUCUCACUACCUCACAACAUCACUUCGGAUCACUUGCACAUCACUAGAACCCGAAGACGCCGCCGGAGCUACGUAACCUUGCCGGAGUAAACUAGUCUCUCCGGAGAAGAACUCGAAGCGUCGGAAGACGCAGACGUCACCGGAACCGAAACCCGACUCGACGUGUUUCGGAUAACCAACUUGUUCGUAUCUCUUGGAUACUCCACCUUUACUCGUGCGCUUUACAAGAAAUCGCAACGCAAUCAAUGAUGAGGAUUCAGGAGUUGAAGAAUUGAUUAGGAUGGCUUAGAAACCCACAUUACAAUAAACUAUGUUUGGUGUUUGUUAUUUCCCUUUUAUGACAUUUUGUAUGAAACUUAGCAAUUUUAAUAAAUGAAAUUUAAUUAUAUUGUCA
Long non-coding RNA from Helianthus annuus (common sunflower), 533 nucleotides. RefSeq lists it as uncharacterized. The transcript is spliced from 3 exons. Lineage: Eukaryota; Viridiplantae; Streptophyta; Magnoliopsida; Asterales; Asteraceae. The record is from RefSeq and is a predicted model, not a curated record.